Balaenoptera acutorostrata (minke whale) is the source of this 2653-nucleotide long non-coding RNA. RefSeq lists it as uncharacterized. The transcript has 3 exons. NCBI's taxonomy places the organism in Eukaryota, Metazoa, Chordata, Mammalia, Artiodactyla, Balaenopteridae. The record is from RefSeq and is a predicted model, not a curated record.
UGGACGGUGGUUUGGGCAGUAAAAACAAUCCCACAGAACGUUACAGUUUGCAACGGGCUUUACUUCAUCUGAUCCCACGGGCUUGUGAGGUAAGAGGUGUCUCCGGUUUACGGUUGAGGAACCCGAGACUCAGAGAGGAGAAACUGCGUGCAUGCGACAGCCAGUAUGUGGUGGGAUGGGUCCUCGGGUCUUGUGACUCCAGGUGGUAGGUCCCUCUCUCGUCACAGUGCUGUCCUGCAGCCCUGGUCAUGAGGUGGGUGGAGCUGGUGAUAAAUUUUAAGGAGAUGGCCCCAGAACUUCCAGAAUGCCCAGCUGAGUAUGCAUCCUGGGUGAGAAAGAGUGAAGAUAAAUGACCUAUGCUUUUAAUUCAAGAAGCCGGAAUAAAGAACUAUUUAAAAAGUAGCAGAGUUUGACUUGACAGUGAUUGAGACGUUUGAUGAAUUAAAUGGAACGAACUCUUGCCUGUGAACUAUGGACUGGUCUAGCGUAGGUGUCUGUGCCUGCUUCCUCGCGUCUCCUGGAAAAUAAAGGCAGCAAGAGGAAGAGGAAGAUUCAGGAAUUCGACCCAGAGGCUCCUAGGCUCACCCAGCCUUGCCACUCCUGGCUGUCUGGCUUUGAAAAAAUACUGUCUGUGCCUACAUUUCCUUAUCUCUAAACAAGGAAAGGGGUUCAGGGAGGUUAAAAGCCAGGAGCAAGAGGUUGCCGAGAUGAACCCUGGUCCCCUCACUCACUACCCAAUGUACCAGUUGCCAGCUACGUAACGCGGGAUAGGAGGACCCAUCCCAGCAGAGUUCAUGUGACGCCUAACGAGGCCGUGAAGGACGUGACUUUCCUUGCACGGACGAGGAAGCUUCGCCCUGGAGAACUCAGUGAUGUGCUCGAGGUCACGCAGCUGGCAGUCCUCAGCCCGGGUCUGUCCCCGCAGCCCAGGCCCUACCCCUCCCGCUCGCCGACGUGGGGUAGGAAGUGUGCAAGUGUUCCACGUGUGGCCGCUGAGCUCCUAAAACACACGGAUUCUCAGACCGCGCUCCCGGAAAUGCUGGGGAGAGGCCAUCACUCUACUCUCAGAGACUUCCGGGGCGAUUCGGCUGGGAAGCGACCACAGAGUAGCUGUGAGCUUUGCAGGGUGGAUUCUGUCCCGACCCACCUCCAGAGCUUUGUGUCCUUGAAGUUCGCAUCUCGGUAGGAAGGAUGUUAGGCAGAACCUAAAAGGCAGGGCUUCUAUGCCUGGCCCUGCUGCCAGCCAGCUGUCAGAUUUUGGACGAGUCCUGCGGCCUCUUUGGGUUUUACUUCUUUGUGUGUCAGAGCAGGGGGGGUGUCGGGCGGAACAGACGACUCCUGAGUUGGCCUCGGGCUUUGUCACGCAACAGUUCUGCUGAGCAGUGGCAUUAGGAGAUGGCAAAUUCAGUCAUGGAGGCUUAGACGUCUGUAUUCGUUUUCUCGGGCUACAGAAACAAAGUACCCUAGACUGGGGGCUUCAACGACAGAACUUGACGGUCUCACAGCUCUGGAGGCUGGGAGUCCAAAAUCAAGGUGCUGGCAGGGUUGCUUCCUUCUGAGCGGGAGGGGAAGCUGCUCCGGGCCCCUCCCCCAGCCCCUGGGGGUUUGCUGCGCGUCCUUGACGCCCCUUGUGUUGUAGGCCCAUCGCCUCAGUCCCCGCCUCCAUCUUCACGCGCUGUGCUCGUGUGCGCGCGCGCAAAUCUCUCCCUUUUAUCAGGGUACUGGUCGUAUCAGAGGAGGUGGCACCCACCCUAAUCCAGUAUGACUGAUUAUACCUGCAAUGACCUUAUUUCCAUAUAAGGUCACAUUCUGAGGUCUUGGGGGUUAGGGCUUCGACAUAUGAAUUUUUAGAGGAUUCAGUUCAACACAUAGCAAGGUCCAAGGGAAAAACGCCACUAAAAUGAGCCAAAGUCACUUGAAACUGAGUUAGGUUUCUGAUCUGUCAGGAAUAAUGGUUGCCUACCAGAGAAUCCACUCAGGCCAGUUUAGGGUGGAAAGGGAUUUAUCAAAGGAUGCUUGCUAACUGCAGAGGGGCCAACACCUCAGGAAGGCCACCCACUUUGCGCGGAGGCCCGGCUCUAGCGGAGGCCCUGGCGCCACUUCUGGGCACAGACGCGCAGCUCCCAGGACACGGCUCGGGCCCCGCCCCCGGUGCAGGCUCUGGCCCCGCCCCAGGUGCAGGAUCUGGCUCCGCCCCCGGUGCGUCGCGCAGCGCCUGCUGCCUUGCGUGUCGUGCUCCUCCCAGAGUCCCACACACACGUGUCUCACGCUGUCUUAGUGGAAUAAUUUGGAAGGACUACGUUGAAAUGGAAAAUGUGCAUUCCUUUGACUCAGCAGUUCCACUCCUAUGACUUUUUCCCCCUGAGGAAAUAAUUCAGGGAGUGCCCAGACAUAUCUUUGUAAACACGUGUGUUUAUCAGAGUGCUGCUUAUGUGAACCAAGACACCUCACUAUCCAUCAGUGGUAGAUGGGCUAAAUAAACCGUGAUACAAGUGUGCCCAGCGUGAGGCUACGUUCAGUGUAAUGAUAUAAAUCGGUGGUUUUCAGCUCGGGUCAGAUCCAAAGGCCACCCCUUCUAUAAUAAAUGUCAGACCCAAAUGUCCCCUUUCUAUAACAAAUGUUUAUAAUGCUCCCCUUACUAUCCUGAAAUGAA